RNAcentral lists this ribosomal RNA (253 nucleotides) under uncultured bacterium. RNAcentral's name for it is "partial 16S ribosomal RNA". It matches the Rfam family "Bacterial small subunit ribosomal RNA", at positions 524 to 776 of the family's 1533-position model. The record is from RNAcentral.
UACGUAGGGUGCGAGCGUUAAUCGGAAUUACUGGGCGUAAAGCGUGCGCAGGCGGGCUUUUAAGCCAGACGUGAAAUCCCCGGGCUUAACCUGGGAAUGGCGUUUGGGACUGGGAGUCUGGAGUGCGGCAGAGGAGACUGGAAUUCCUGGUGUAGCAGUGAAAUGCGUAGAUAUCAGGAGGAACACCGAUGGCGAAGGCAGGUCUCUGGGCUGACACUGACGCUCAUGCACGAAAGCGUGGGGAGCAAACCGG